Trametes elegans is the source of this 92-nucleotide non-coding RNA. The record is from the annotation of a GenBank genome assembly. NCBI's taxonomy places the organism in Eukaryota, Fungi, Basidiomycota, Agaricomycetes, Polyporales, Polyporaceae.
GGCGAUAUGGCCGAGCGGUCUAAGGCGCCAGAAUCAGGUUCAGCACCAGUAUCUGGUCCUCACGGGCGUGGGUUCGAAUCCCACUGUCGUCA